GAUUAUAGCUGUCAGGUAAAAAAAUUUGCCGAAUCUACGUAUAUUGGCAGAUGUUGCUGUCGAAAUAAUUAUCUGUUAAUAAUGCAACAGUAAGAUUGAGUUUUUUGUAUUCUGUAUGUUUGCCUCCAGAGAUGUUAAGAUCUAAGAUCUUCCAAAACUUAAUUUUGUUUCAUACUGAAAUAUCAUUCCUCUGGUGCACAAGAAUUCUUAAAUAGGAGGUUCAUAAUGGCUUAAUAGCUGUUAUAAGUAUUUCAACUUGAUAUGUAGCUUUACAGAACUUUUAUGCAUCCUAAAGCAUUUGGCCUGGUAAACUCUUUCCAACUAGUAUGUUCUCUUCUGUGUUCCUUACACCAUAUUGAUAAUAUGAUAUGCCAAUAUUUACAUGUCCUUGAAGUUCUCAUCUUCUUAAAAGGUGAAAUAAACUCAAAAAAUGGAUAACAAACACUUUCAUACAAGAUUAUUUAUUGAAAUGGAUUUGAUUAUAGUCUCGAUUAUACACGCAUACUACUAUUCCUGCUCAUGUAAAUUUAUCUGGCAGUUCAAGUUCGGAGUACAUCCUCCUAUAAACAAAGAGGAUAAGAUACUGAGUGAGCCUUGUUUGGCAAUAUGCCCAACUGCCACACGGCGUAGAGAACUCAGGACCGCUAAUGAAUUGCAGUGCCCCAAACUAUAAUGGUAUGUACGAUGACACUGAAGAAAAUACAUAAUGACCAAGGACUUCUGACGACCAUCUUUCAGAAGUCUACUUCACUUGUACAGCAAAACCAAUCGUACUGUCUACCAGACAUGAUGGUUGUGGUUUGUUGCAGCAGAUAAUGAAUUAUCUGCAGCAUUGUUGCUGCUCGAGAUCCUCACAAAUAGGAGCUAUAUUAAAUGCAGGAAUUUUAAGUCUGUGCAAUACUAAUCCUUACACAUUAUAGUAUGCUCUUAUACUGAUCUUCUGUAUUAUAUACUAGAGAAGCUUCAGAAUAGCUGUCAUUGCUGUUUUGUGAUUACUGCCACACACAUUGUAAUGUGUAACUGUAAGAGUAUACUGUGUUUGAUAUGUACCUGGGCUCC
RNAcentral lists this long non-coding RNA (1059 nucleotides) under Aquilegia coerulea. RNAcentral's name for it is "long non-coding RNA (ACOE_LNC001748)". Lineage: Eukaryota; Viridiplantae; Streptophyta; Magnoliopsida; Ranunculales; Ranunculaceae. The record is from RNAcentral.